Bos taurus (domestic cattle) is the source of this 473-nucleotide long non-coding RNA. The record is from Ensembl. NCBI's taxonomy places the organism in Eukaryota, Metazoa, Chordata, Mammalia, Artiodactyla, Bovidae.
CGGAGGAGAGCGCGACGGGACGGACGCGGGCGGGAGCGCAGCAAGCCCUCCCGGCUCCGCCGCGGCGCCUCGCGGGUCCGGGAGGCGAGGGGGCCCCGCGGGGAGACGCUGUGACAACUUUCGUUUCCCCCCGCCCCCCCGAGGGAGCCGCGAGGUCUGCGGCCCCGAAAAACAAGACAUGAAUAACCCAUUUCACAGAUGAAGAAACUAAGACCUUAGAUUAAUUUAUCCAAAUCCCAAAGCGAGUGGACCUGGAGCAAAGACCUUCUGACUCAUUCUCAGUCUUAUGGACUGUAGCCUGCCGGACUCCUCUGUCCAUGGGAUUCUCCAGGCAAGAAUACUGGAAUAUGUUGCCAUUUUCUCCUCCAGGAAUCACCCGACCCAGGGAUCGAACCAGCAUCUCCCGUGUCUCCUGCAUUGGCAGCAGAGUCUUUACUACCCAGCCACCUGGGGAGCCCAAAAGCGCUUUAUAG